CACCGCGGUUAGACGAGAGGCCCUAGUUGAUAUUCUAGCGGCGUAAAGGGUGGUUAGGAAUAACAAACAAUAAAGCCGAAUGGCCCCUUGGCCGUCAUACGCUUCUAGGCGUCCGAAGCCCUAAUUUUACACGAAAGUAGCUUUAAUACUAGCCCGACCCCACGAAAGUUAAGAAA
RNAcentral lists this ribosomal RNA (176 nucleotides) under Desmopuntius pentazona. Its description in RNAcentral is "partial 12S rRNA". The record is from RNAcentral. Lineage: Eukaryota; Metazoa; Chordata; Actinopteri; Cypriniformes; Cyprinidae.